GCCGGUAUAGCUCAGCUGGUAGAGCGGCUCAUUCGUAAUGAGUAGGUCGCAGGUUCGAAUCCUGUUAUCGGCUCCA
Molecule: transfer RNA, 76 nt
Filed under: Sporomusa termitida
Lineage: Bacteria; Bacillati; Bacillota; Negativicutes; Selenomonadales; Sporomusaceae
Description: tRNA-Thr
Rfam family: tRNA
About the family: Transfer RNA (tRNA) molecules are approximately 80 nucleotides in length. Their secondary structure includes four short double-helical elements and three loops (D, anti-codon, and T loops). Further hydrogen bonds mediate the characteristic L-shaped molecular structure. tRNAs have two regions of fundamental functional importance: the anti-codon, which is responsible for specific mRNA codon recognition, and the 3' end, to which the tRNAs corresponding amino acid is attached (by aminoacyl-tRNA synthetases). tRNAs cope with the degeneracy of the genetic code in two manners: having more than one tRNA (with a specific anti-codon) for a particular amino acid; and 'wobble' base-pairing, i.e. permitting non-standard base-pairing at the 3rd anti-codon position.
Source: RNAcentral